This 500-nucleotide ribosomal RNA is filed under the name uncultured bacterium. RNAcentral's name for it is "partial 16S ribosomal RNA". It matches the Rfam family "Bacterial small subunit ribosomal RNA", at positions 30 to 523 of the family's 1533-position model. The record is from RNAcentral.
AUUGAACGCUGGCGGCAUGCUUUACACAUGCAAGUCGAACGGUAACAGGGUGGUUGCACCGCUGACGAGUGGCGAACGGGUGAGUAAUGCGUCGGAACGUGCCGAGUAGUGGGGGAUAACGCAGCGAAAGUUGUGCUAAUACCGCAUACGUACUGAGGUAGAAAGUGGGGGACCUUCGGGCCUCACGCUAUUCGAGCGGCCGACGUCUGAUUAGCUAGUAGGUGAGGUAAAGGCUCACCUAGGCGACGAUCAGUAGCGGGUCUGAGAGGAUGAUGCGCCACACUAGAACUGAGACACGGACCAGACUCCUACGGGAGGCAGCAGUGGGGAAUUUUGGACAAUGGGCGAAAGCCUGAUCCGGCCAUGCCGCGUGUCUGAAGAAGGCCUUCGGGUUGUAAAGGACUUUUGUCAGGGAGGAAAUCCCUAGUGCUAAUAACACUGGGGGAUGACAGUACCUGAAGAAUAAGCACCGGCUAACUACGUGCCAGCAGCCGCGGUAA